RNAcentral lists this ribosomal RNA (463 nucleotides) under uncultured bacterium. RNAcentral's name for it is "partial 16S ribosomal RNA". It matches the Rfam family "Bacterial small subunit ribosomal RNA", at positions 28 to 507 of the family's 1533-position model. The record is from RNAcentral.
GAUGAACGCUGACAGAAUGCUUAACACAUGCAAGUCUUUGGCGAAGCUGUGCUUGCACAGCCUAGCCAAGGCGGACGGGUGAGUAACGCGUCAGGAACUUGCCCUGCAGUCAGGGAUAACAGACGGAAACGACUGAUAAGACCUGGUAAAGUCAGGCGGACUCAUGUCCAGCCUGAUGAAAAGAGAUGCUGCAGGAGAGCCUUGCGUCCUAUUAGCUUGUUGGUGGGGUAACGGCCCACCAAGGCGAUGAUAGGUAGCCGGCCUGAGAGGGUGGACGGCCACAAGGGGUCUGAGAUACGGCCCUUACUCCUACGGGAGGCAGCAGUGGGGAAUAUUGGACAAUGGGGGCAACCCUGAUCCAGCAAUUCGGUGUGCACGAUGAAGGUUUUCGGAUUGUAAAGUGCUUUCAGCAGGGAAGAAAAAAAUGACGGUACCUGCAGAAGAAGCGACGGCUAAAUACGUG